GGAGGGGCCGGCGGUUACGGAAGCGCCGCUGGAAACGGCGCGCUCGCCGAGAGGUGGGUCGCGGGUUCGAAUCCCGCUCCCUCCGCCA
Molecule: transfer RNA, 88 nt
Filed under: Micromonosporaceae bacterium
Lineage: Bacteria; Bacillati; Actinomycetota; Actinomycetes; Micromonosporales; Micromonosporaceae
Description: tRNA-OTHER
Source: RNAcentral